Molecule: long non-coding RNA, 2901 nt
Organism: Manis pentadactyla (Chinese pangolin)
Lineage: Eukaryota; Metazoa; Chordata; Mammalia; Pholidota; Manidae
Exons: 5
Source: RefSeq, a predicted model, not a curated record
GUGCCAGGAGCAGGGAAGGAAGAUUUCCUUUUAAGCUUCUCAUCAACCAGCUUUCAUUUCUUUUCAGAUGUCACUUCUCAGUAACACCUUCCUAUAUUUUCUGUUGGGAGAAUUUGUGUCACAUGCACAAGGGGACCUGGAGCCUGGAAUACAAGGAAAAGUCUGGAAUGGAAUCAUACAACUGAACAGGACUCUCCUGCCAUGUCGCUGUGUGUCUGGUAAACAAAGUAGAACUCACAGCUGUAGGUCGGGCACUAGAAUCACGCCUGCAUCCAGCAGCCUGAGGUCUCCUUGACUUGCCUCUCCAGGUGUGGAAUCACUGCGUCAUGAGCUGGGGCAGAGGAGUUUGAGUCUCCAGUAUUCUCAAUGCCCAAGGCAGAGCCUUUACUUCAAAAAUGGGGCAGAAGAAUGGUACACACAGUUUGAAAAUCAUUUUGACAAGACUUGUUUUUAUACCACAUUCCAACGUAAAAGAUAACUGAAGUAAUCCAUGUAACAUGGCUUGGAUUAGAGCAAACUAAUGAGUGGGUAGAAAUGUAUUACGGAACUGUAGGUCAAGCACUAGAAAUUUUUGUCUGAAACAAGCACUGCACUGCCUCCUGGUGUGGGUGGCAUUCUACUUUUCCAAAGGAACCAGAGAAAGUAAAGGAAUACGAUUUGAUUAUUUUGGAUCUGUACUGUCACAGAUGAAAGAUUUUACUGUCAACUCUGAAAAAGCAACUUGUACCCACUGCAAACCUGCCCGGCCAGAGGCUAUUAAAAGAUUCUGUGUGUUGAAUGUUUGGGGCCCAGGUUGGGAUUUCAUCUCAUGCUAUGGGAUUGGCUCAUGGUUGCAAUUUACACAGUUUGUAACCAUGAUAGCCAGAUGACCGCAGAAGCGCUAAGGUGCGGGAAUGCCGAACAAGAGGAAACCAGCGCUGGUCUCUGGAUCAAAAUUAACUACCAACCAAGAGUUAGGAAAUGGAUCAAUGGCCAGGGAAGCAUUUUGGUGACCACUGCUCAAAGCUGCAGCCCCAGUGCAGUUGCUGAUAACCUUGUCAGCCCUCCAGAUAAAGACACAUCUUGUCACCCUCAGGCACCUGGCCCAGAGGUAAUAAAACGGUUGACUUAUCUUCUAAGGGUGGAGUCCGUCAAACCUCAGCCUCCGUAAUUAAAGAAAACUGAAAUUGCCUGUCACUUACAAAAAAAAAAAAAAAAAAGGCGGGGGAGGGGGGAGAGAGAAAGGAAAAAGGCCAAAGGCAGGAAAUUGCAUUUGUCUCUCUCCUUGGAUUUUAAAAAGGAAGUGAUCCUACCAGCCAAAAGUUUUCCAGCGAGAAAAACAGCCUGGCUCUACUGCCCUCUCCCCGGGGUAACAGGAUUGCAGACAGCUCGGGUCCACGUGACGGCCUAGAAAAGAGGCUCAAGCUGAUGAAAACCCAAGAAAUCUUCGGAGCUUUCCUUUCUGAAUGUCAAUGGCUGAGUCAGUGCGUUGCUGAGCGGGGAAGGAAGUCACAGUCACACAGAGUGACUCAUUCAGCGCUGUUCGCUCAGGCAGGCGGAUAAAAAGUUUUAGCGAAAGCAGUAACAAUCUCCUUUAAAUACUAGCACAGUAAGGAAAUUCCUCUCUUUCAGGCUGAAUGCCAUCCACACAAAAGAGCUCCUGUUGACAUCUCAUUUACAAUCUCCCCCAGGACACAGACAAGACCAUUUCAAUAAACCCAGCUCAGAAACACCUAUUGUUCAAAAUCUUCAACUAGCAACAGGCUACCACCACUCCCUAUUGUUUUGUAAAAUAAAAGAUUUAGAAGGAGAAGGAUUGGGGCUGUGGAAGCUCUGAAAAGAGGAAGGGAAAAAAGUCCCUUUGACUCGAGGCUGUCAGAGUGCACAGGAAGAAUAAAGUUAAUGAAUUUCCAUUUUUAUAAGAAGUGCAUAGGAAUGCCUGUUAAGCUUCUGAACUAGUGAUUGGGAAUUCUAAAUUUGAUGCCAACUUUGUGUGUAAAGAAGCUAAUUCCUGCCAACUUGUUUGCGAAAUGAAAAGCCGGAGACUGUACUCACCCUCUUCUCAGCCUUACAGAAGCCCAGAUAGCAGCACAAGCAAAUGCACCAGAUCCUAUUAGCUCCUUUCUGGAGGAUCACAGCAACUAACUGACUCCCGAUUCCUCGAACUACCGGUUGUGACUUGUUAAUAGGACAUGAAAUCCAUUUCUGAAAAUGAAACAGCUCAGGAAAUGUCAGAGUGCACCAAACAAAGGAACACAAGAGUGGAAGAUCCUGGACAGAUCCUGUCACUCCUGCGGACGGUCUGCCUUCAGGAUAAAGUGCUGACUCGAGGGCUUUAAAGAUUCCAAAGAACUUGGUUCCCACGCACCUUCGAGGUCUCAGAACUCUACAUCCUCCUGACCACUCUUACUUUUAGUUAUUAACAUUAAGUUCCCUGGUCGUUGCAGAUGGAAUUUCCCCUUUAGGGACAUGCUUUCCUCCUCUUUCCCCUUCAGGUAUCAUAGGUUGUCACCUCUGCCAGGAUGACUUAUGGAAUGUUCUAAAUGACUCCCCCAGUUCUUAUUAGAACACUGCACUUUUUAUUUGACAGAGCACUUUGUACAUUAUAAUUAUCUUCUCAAUUCCCUAUUAUUUAAGCUCCAAGUGGGCAUUCAGUAAAUAUUGUGUAAAUAUUUGCAUCGAAUGUUUCACAUUUUACAUAGCUCAACAUUUCCUUCCUACAUACCAAUUUGAAUAGUUAUUGUAAAGUAUCAUCUCCAUUUCUCAAAGUGUUUGUGUUCAUUUUUUUACACUUCAAUAUCUCCUGUUCAUUUGCUUUUCAAACACUAAUUAAUUUGGAAAUUAACUGGACUUUUAAAAAUCAAAGUAAUAAAAUUUGGAGAAAACGGUUCGACUUUUUCCUGGUCAUUCACCCUCCUGAAA